GAUACCGGACGAAAACUGAAAACGGAAAAAAAUGUCGGUGGUCAGUCGUUGGUGCCGUGUGUCGAUAGUCUUUUUUUCCUCUCUUUUGUCUCUCAUAUACAUAUACAUUCUCGCUCACUUAGUGGGCAAAGAUGGCGGCUCCCUCUCACUCGUUGGUCCGCUCAGCAAGCUCGACGAGAGGGGCCGAACUGUGUGACGCAACCGUUGCUGUCACGUGACUGUUCCGUGGCUCGGCUUGCUCGCUGGGCCAGUGUGUGAUCUAACGUUUGUUACGGCGGCCGACGGCGGAGGAUACGCACCGGAGAGCGCAGCAGGAAACAGCAAAGACGGGAAAGACUACCCCAGUCGUCUCUCUCAUUUUGCACGAUAAUAGCGCAGACUCUCUUGGUCGCUAGGUCAGUGGGGGUGAGAAACUGGCUUGGCUUAUACGCAAAGCAACAGUCAGUCUUUUUCUCUCUCCUAUCGGCCCCGCGACAAAGCGCAACUCAAUGUCCAUUUUCUUCUUCGAGCGCGAUGUGUCGUUCUCGAAACGUGCGCGUAAAGCUAGAUCAUCGACGCUUUGAAUUGUCGCCAUCGUUCCUGUCCUUUUCGUCGAAAGGAUGGGAAAGGAUAGCGGUAAAGGUGUAUAAAGUUCAUUGAUUCCGUUCAUCUUGAUAGUAAUAACUGCAAGUCGUCAUUUUUUAUAUUGUUUUCUAAGAUUUCAAAGUAUAUUUAACGUUUUAAGAUUAAAGAAUUUUUAUUAAAUAUUCAAUCUUGAUUCUCCAUAAUUUUUUGUGAUUUAUAGAAUUUAAAAAUUCUGGAUUUCGUCAUCCUGAUUAUUCACAUCUUUUACGUAAUCUUCACGUUUCUCGAGAUUAACAAAUCUUUUGUCUCUCUCUCUUUCUUUCACUAAAAAUCGUAUAUAUAUUUCCAAUUUUAUACAAUAUUUCCCUUUAAAUCUUAAAGUGUUCAAAUAUAAAUUAAUUGCAAGUAUUCAAAUUUUUAAUUAACGCCAUCUGCGAAUACAUAUUUUAUAACCUUAUAAAAAUAUAAUCUUUAUUCUUAAAACUCUUGGAUUGUCCAAUUCUUUAAUCUCCGUAUAAUGUUAGAUCCGCGGUUCCGCAAAUUUAAUAUUUAUACACAGCAUGAUCUCAGCAGUGGAUACCGUGUUCCCCCAGCUGUAACGAAUAUUAUUGAAAGGCUCUGGGAUCACGGAAAACACUGAGCGAGCAUCAGCCAUACUUCAGUGGAUUCUUCUCUCGCUGAUUUUUGACGACCUACUUGCUUCCUCAUAAUUUAUGAUAGACGAUGAUGUUUAUUGCUAUGUAAUUAACAACAAUAUGUUUAUGCGGGGAUUGACUUUUAGCAAUAUAUAAUUCUCUGGAAUAUACAUACAUAAAUGUACAUUAGCAUUCAUUAUACAUACAUUAGCAUUAGCAAGUCUAGAUUUUUAUGACAUGUAUAUUAAGUAUUAAGUCUAACUGUAAUUUUUAUCGUCUUAUUGCAGAAAUCUUUUCUGUUCUUUGUUGUUAACAGUAUUAGUAAAACAUUAAUUUUUUCGGAAAUAUUAAAUAAGUAAGAUAUCCUAAGAUUCUGUAAUUUAAUCAUGUAAAUGGCUCUACCUGUAUGGUGGACCUAAACUUGUCCAAAUACACUGCAGAGUUCUGUGAUUGUACGAAACCCCGUGCAGGCCUAGGCCGCCGUUCACCUCUUGCCGCGUACUAUACUUUCUAAAGCUGCUUACUUUCGUAACUCGGCAAAUACCGGCCGCUGCGGAUUCUUUUUCCCGACCAGCCAGCCGGAGAACCAACCGGAUCGACACGGCACGUAUUUUUCUACUCUCGCGUACGAUUUUUUUUUACUAUACACUGACUAGAUUGAGAAAUCUCAGAAUUAACACAUGUCUUUUUCGUUGGUCUUCUUGUAUGUUUUAUACAUUUGAAUUUACGAAUUUAUGAUCAUUUAGCUCCACAACUCAAUUAUAAGUUAAAUAUGUGCAUACUAUUUAUCCACGCACUUUUAUUAUUUAUCCACGUAAUUCUCUAUUUAUAAUUCUCUUAAUAUUAAUAAUGUUCUUAGAACUGUACUCAUACAUUUAUUCUAGUUGAUUAUUAUUAUCUUAUAUUUUAUAUAUAUCUCAAAAUUGUUGUAAGAAAAAUAAAAAACUUACGUUUAUUGGCACUUGUCGCUACAUGUUUCUUUCAGAUUAGGAUUAGGAAUCCAAUCUCACAAAAUGCGUUUUAAUGAAACUUGUUAUUUUCCCCUUCCUAAUAAAAAAAAUAUAUUUGUAUCCGUGCAUGAUUAAUAUUAAUAUUAUAUCAAUUGCGCUGUGCAACUCGCAUUUAUUUACAAUUUCCAUAUACACGAGGCAUGUGUAUGUAGUGUUUUCCCCAUAUCUACUUAUUAUUAUUCCAAGAACUAGAGUCGAUAAUUCUUAAUUAUGGUAUCGACAAAUAACAUGACCAACUCGCUUAAACGCUGCUUUUAGCAAGGCACAUUUGAUGAUAACAAUGCUUAAUAAGCCACGAGUAUGUAAUAAAUUAUUAAUUGAGUAAAUGACAAGUUAUGUGUGCCAAUUAUUUGUAUAUGCUAUAUAUAAUAGAAAUUUCAACUCCUAAAAUGCAAUUUUAUGUUACAAAUAUAUAUAUUUUUCGCAUAUCACACGAGUAAUCAAGAAUUAAUUUGCUUAAUAUAUUAUUAAUAGAAAUUAAUACAUAAAUAUAUUAGAAAUCUAGUUAGAAAGUGUAUAACAAUAGUCACCUAAUGUGUAAUAGUUUUAUUAGUUUUCUAAAUAGUUAUAUAUUUCCCAACAUUUGUGUGCAGUUUUAUUGGAAACACUAUAUAUUGCCUAUCGCUAUGUAUUGCUUUAUAAUCGAGCACCUAGUGUUUAUGUUAAUCAUGUCUUGAUCUAAACGCACGUUACACAACUCAAUGCUUUUACAAAAACCGCAUAUGAUUGAGCUCAUAAUAUUUAAUCACAACAUUUACUCACAAUAUCAGGUGGCAAAAUUUCUUGAAAGGUUAGUUGCAGAGAACUUCACCGUUCAUUAUCUCGUAUUUUCGCAAUCGCGAGAUACUCAAUGUAGGAAAAUUGUUACCGAGGUAAAAAGGUUGACGUUGGAGCAAAACAAAUAGGACUUUAUUUUAUAUCACGUUAUUUGCAUACGCAUAUAAAAAUUCUUAAAAUUUUAACUACGAUUCGUUAUAAAACCUAAACUAUUAUUUUUGUUAACAAAUAGGAAUGCAAUAGGAUAAGAUUGUUUCAUGGAAUUUGUCAGAAAGGUUACAACAUUAAGAAAGUUACAUAAGAUAACGAUUUAUCAACUAUGCGGCCUUAGCAUUUAUAUGAAAAAAAUUUAAUGUCUAAUUUAAAUCUAACAUAUAUGUAUACAUAAAAAAGAAAAACAGCGUGAAGAUUUUUUUUCUAUUGUGACAAGAGAGCGUGGGACACGCAACCAUUUGCGAGUGCUAAGGCGCCAUUUUCUUACGCAGCGUCAUGUUGCGGCCAUCUUUCGCUAAGACCAAGCGUUUCCGUUUCCAUUUCGGAUCGCAUACCGCACUCGGAUUCCAUCCUCGCCAUCUAAUUUUACUCGUUGGCCCCGAUAUUAUAUCGUCUUGCUUCAUCGCACUGUACCUGAUUUCAGGAAAACAUUUCAGCUUGCCAAAGAAAUAAACGAAUUAGCUUUUCACAGUCAUAAAAAUGUUUCAAUAAAAAUUAAAUCAUAUUUUAUUAAUUUUGAUAACAUGUCCUUCAUGGUAAUAUUAUUGCUUAUUGUUGUAUAAAUUCAUUUUUAUAAUAUUAUAUUCACUUAUACUUUGUUACGUAGUAUAUAAAUAUCAUGCAAAAAGCGUGAUUGUCAAAACUCUACGACAACUUUAUCAGAGAUGAAUAAUUACAAAAUUUGCAGUCCUAACUCUAAUUCCGUCAUUGGAGUUUUAUGAAAAUCAGACUCGACGCCAAUGGUGCGGAUGACAUCAUUGCGAAACGGUUGGUUCGUGGGGCAAAGAGGCAGCGGUAAAGACCGUGGAUCAUUGCAUGAGGGCAGGAGGGGGUGUAGGCAAGGCAUAUGUGUGAUGCUAGAGAAGAGCAAAAUGCACGAGAGAGAUAGGUAGAAUAAAAGGAGAGGGGGAGAUACAUAAAGAUGCAAGGAAGCAAGAAGAGAGAGUGAGAGACUGAUGGUAGCCAUGAUGAGACGAGAAGAGCGGAAAGGUGCCACGUUAUAAGCACGCUGUAGUGAAUCUGUCGAAUGGAAGGGAUACAAGAAGGGGGUGCAAAGGGGGCAGCUAGGCCUUGAAGAAGCGAAGACGAAUAAAAGCACGCGACGCUUUAUGAACGGAACUUUAGUGCUGAAGUCAGCACGGUUAUUUCUCGAGCUGAAGUCAGCGCACCUUUCUCUCUAGAACGCGUCUAAAAUCCCUUACGAAUGUCCUUUCUAUUCGAUAUAUUCCUAUAUUCUAAUUUAUGAUGUUUAAUUAGUUUUAUAUUUAGAAGCUCUCGGGCUCUUGCGCGCGUGGGUGUGUUACAUAACGCAUAUUUCACGUAUCCGAAGGAGUACUAAAAAUUCUCGAAACAUCAUAAAUCGUGAAAACGUAGUCAGAUGAAAAAAGCAUACUGAGCUUGAAUAAGUGAUCAGUAAUGGACAAUGUGCUACAGUUAGACCAAAUAUCUUUAUCGUCACACGUACGCACACACUUCUAAGUUGCGUAAUCGACAACGAUAUCAUUUAUUAGGCAGUCUUUGAGCACAGUCGAGAUGUCGGCAAUUUUGCAUUCGCGUAUGCCAAUAUUACGUUGACUAACGGUGAUCGAUUACUCGUUCUCGAGAAAUUUAUGAGAAGAAUGAGAAACUCUUUUUAAUUUUUUAUUUUACAGAGAAUUAUACGCAAAGUCUUUGCAUCGUUAGUUUUAAAUUUCGAGUAUUUUCUAUUUCUAAAAAGAGGAGAACGUUAUUUCAAGUCCGAUAUUUUUUUGUGGAAACCUUGAAGUAUGAUAGCGAAAAAUGAUAUCUUUUCUUUCAUCCAUUUCUAUCAUAAGCCUGCACACAUAGAGGUCUCCAUGGUAUUCGCUCGUAUCUUCUUCGCCGAAAAGCCCACCCCGAUUUUUACCCUCACCCACCAUUCCCAGACGAUUUCUCGGUCGAAGAUGGCUCCUGUGAGGUUAUCGCUAGACCACGCCCUGCGAAACAGAGCUUUCCGCCAUGAACAAUAUUGAGGAGGACCAAGAUCUCAAGGACAACCGGAGCCGCUCCUGCGGGAAGCAUACCGCGACACUCGUGUUCCUUUCUUCCCGGAAAUCGUGAGCACGCGAGCGAGCCAAUCCGUGCGUCAUACUAUAUAAUGUAGGAAAAUUACUGGUCAUCAUACGUGGAAACGAUUAAAUGUUUUCUUAUCCUGGUUGUAGGAUGUAGGAUUGCCGAAGGUGAAGAAUAUUUUGAAAAAUUCAUAUUGGUGAAAAUAUUCUGACGAAUUAUUUGUGUGUAUGUGUGCGGAUAAUUCAUUUCUAAAAUUCUUAAAAAACGUAUGUGCGGAAAGAGUAUUAUAUGAUCCAAACACUGCUAGCAAUGAGAUUUCAACGUAUAUCUACAAUAUAUAAAUUGCUUUAAUUUGUACCAAUUACUUUGAGAAAUGUACACAAAAAUUAUCUGCUAUCAAUGCAAAUAAUUAUUUAAACUCCUUAUAUUGUUGCAUAAAUAAUGAUUCUUUUUCCCGUUUCCGGUAAGAACACCUGUCAUGAUUAUUUUUCAUCGAUAAUAAAAUAAUAAAUUAUCUCGGAAUAAAAUAAUUAUCUUGAAUAUCAACAACUGCUCGUCUGCAUCUCCUUCCUUUGAUUCUUUUUUCUCCUCCACCUUUUUUCGUUCUUGUUGACCCGGCAUGUAUGGCGGAUAAGCUUACGUAAGACAAACGUACCUACUUACUUACCAACCCACCUACUGACUAUUCGAGGGAUCAAGGCAAACCGGUAGGCAGGUAAGCAGGCAAACAGACUAGUAGGUAGGUAGAUGAGUGAGUAGGUGGGCACGAGUUGCGCGCAUGCUCCCAACCGAACCUGCCAAAUGGACAGGCGAUACAACAACGGAAAUACCAUUCUGCGUGGUGCUCCUCCCUCGCCCCUCGAAUGGUUCCUCGAUUACCCUUGCCCUCUCUCAAAGCCGAUCUCUACCAGCCGGCCCUCUAGCCGGGUAGACCGAAGAAGGGAAUGUUCAGGGUCCUACAAGGAUGACGGACGAUUCUCACGCUCGGUGACGUAACUGGUAUUACGGCUGAUCCAAUCAGGUCAGUUCUAUGAAAGCAAGAGUGGGAUUAGGGAUGUGAGUUAGUUAAGUUUUGUCAAAAUAAAGAAUUCAAUGCUAGAGUUCAUGAAACUAUCCUGUGCCGAAGCACUAGCACCUUUUUCCAGGAGACAGAUGCGGAACGUUAGAAAGAUAAGCAUGAAUGAGAAAUAAAAAUAAUGCGAAAAUUCAUGAAUAACUAGGAACCUGCGAGCGAAUUUCUGCGGUCGCCUCAUAGAUGCACUGGCCUAGUUUGCAAAGGGGUUAACGGAGGGUGGAGGAAGAGGAGUUUGGGGGCGUGGAUCUGUGUCACUGCACACGCGCGCUGUACCACUCGGUGCAUUCUUCGAUGUUGUUCUUGGCCCCUUUGCUAAACGCGGAAUCACGGAAUCUUCGCAACUUUCCUACUUAUACAAGGUAGCGCGGCAAAAUCCACCAUCGAACUCGCAGGAUGAGUGACUCCAGCUGGAACUCUUAACUGUAAUAUUAUUUUGUAAUUUUAUAAUAAAUAAUAAGAAGCGUGACAUUAUAAAAAUGAUAUUAAAAACUUUCUCUACUUAAAGAUAUCUUUAAUUAUUUCUUUUAAACAUUUCGCGUCUCUGACUUCUCUUUUCUGCUGAUUUCCUUCGUUCGUUCGUGAAGUUCCACAUCAGUGACCAUAAUAAAAGCAUAGUUAAUGCGUGGAUGUAGUUAAGAAAUGUAGGGCACCCGGUAUGCGUACGCAGGAAGCAUCACGCAAGCGUGCUUCUCCAGCGUCUGCGUGUCACAACUAUCAUAAGUGUAAUGUUGCGUGAUAUACCGUAAUGUGUGUUGCGUGCUCAAUCGCGAUCGCCACGAUAAAAUGUACCAUUGCAGAAUACGCUACGAAAAGUACAUUACGUUACGAAACAGUAUCCUCCCCAUUUAUUCAGUAACGCAAGUUAAAUAUGCGAUCCGUGCACAGCGAAAUUACUUUAUUAUUGCCUCUCUGCUUUUUUUACCCUACAAUGAAUUUCCAUUCCAACUACCAGGCGAAGAAAAAUUUCUGUUCGGUUCUCCCCUUAUCGCGUCUGUUACGCGAGGCAGCAUGCAAAUUGAACGUGUAAAGCGCGUAAAGCGCGCGUCAAGAAGAUUUCCACGAUGAGCAGCAUUCGCAAAAAGACGCGAGCGUCGGUAAUUAAUCGACCUUGCGAGCACUGAAGAAAAAGUUGCGGGCUAGAUUUAGCCGAUGCGGGGAGGGAUUCCCUGCCUCUUGCGGUUACGUGAACGAGCUCGCCAUUUUGCCUCGCUGCUGCUACUCCCGUUUGACACCGACUUGCGUUUCGACCUUCAAACGUCGUCGGAAAAAAGAGCCAUUGUCCGCGUGCCGAGGAGCUAGAGGGAAAUGAUGCCGAAAAGGAAUACGGAGGGGUGUUCAAUGUAUGCAACCGAAACGGCUAGACUCGUCGUCUUCCUGUGUCUCUCUCUCUUUUUACUGGUCUUUCUCGUAGCUUCGUCCAUCUUCUUUCAGCUCUCAAAGAGUGAUUUUCGUAAAAGGAAGUCACGGAUUUAUGUUUCCGCGCAUCCCGUCCAACGAUCAAAUCCAAGAGUCCGUUGUAUGUCUGUUCAUAUCUUUUCUGUUUCUACUUCUUCAUGCAAUCUCCUUGCAACGUGACCGACUUCGAUGACGAGGUUCGUGCAAUCAGUGCGCCGUGAUACGUCUGCCCGGAAGGACAGGGAUCAGCUUUUAUUCCGUUCCGAACGAGCGGUAACGCACAAGGCUCGCGCGCGCUCCCGCAACGUGCAGGUGCACGUGCAUUUCACGCUUUACGUCUCUCCGACGGCCCCGACGCGACGGUGCUAUGCGGAAGUGCACCGGAAGUGCAACAAAGGAUCUCUCGGAUGGUCAGACGAUAACCAGGAAGCGGAAGCGGCCGAACGAGUCGUUGUUAAGAAAGCAGGGCGGAAGAGCCAACCCUAUCGGUGGAUGGAUCGGGGAAUGAGGGAGAGGAUCGGGGGCAAAGGGGGACGGGCGGGGGCUUAAGAAAGCGAGGGAAGAAAAAAAGCGGUUCACCAGGAGGGUAGAGAGCUCGUUUCGACCUCGUGGUAGGCCUCGAUCGAUGUCGUCGCCAUGGUGACCGGGCCGGCACCGCGGUGCUCCACUACUGAUUAUUUAUGUCAAAGAUUCCCCCCGCGACCCUCCGAGGCAUGAAACGCAAACGCGAGCGAACCACCCCGGGCAGAGGGGCAAACGCUCGAUCUGGCAGCCUACUAGCCUACCCACGUGACACUGAAGUUGAGGGGUUCCGGGGAUGGAUAAACUGUGGACGGGGUAGAUGGAAUAUGUGGAUAGAUGCGAAGGGAGUGCAGAGAGAGAGAAGCCAAAAUUUGACGCUUUAUAUUUUAUUAAUUGUGUAAAUUGCAAUUUAUUUAUAUCCGUAUGUGGAAUGUGCAUUCAUGUAUGUUUUAUCAUUAACCACGUCCGUUUUUUUCGUGAAGCACAUCUAUUUUUGUUUUGCAAUUAAAACAUCGGUAAAUGAAUAUUUCCGCUAUCGCGAGAAAGAAGAAAAGAGGAGAACGGAAGAAGACGUGAAGAGGAAUCAAUGAAAUACGCGGUCAAAGAAGAGAAUAAAUGGGGCGCGUAGGUACAUAUAUAACCACGUCGAGAUUUAUUCAGGAUCUGGAACGAGCCCCUGACAUUCAUAAACAAUCUCACUUACGGUUUAUUAAUAAUAUAUCAAUUAAAAAGAGAGCAUCAUACCAAAGAAUGAAAAAAAAAAUGAUGAAAGAACGGCGAUGCGUUAUAAAUGAACGCGGUGGUAUUGCUAGAAAUUGUAGUUGCGUUUUAAUUGCCGACUUAUUUAUCAGUACGAGAAUAGAAUAGCGUUAACAAUGCGUCGAUGAGAGCGAGAGGACAACGUAAAAUGGCGCGCACGAAGAGCGAGGAAAGCGGCUUCUAUUCCCUGUGGGAAGGGUGCUUUCGACCCAGUUUCACCCUCGCAAGGUGGUGGCAAUCGAUACUGCGCCUAAGGGUCGCGUGAAACGCGAUCGUAGUGCCGCUAUUACGUUGAAGCAAGAUUGGGGUCCGCACACGUUACACGAUACGAAUCUGAUCUGGAAAAAGUGUAACUUGUCCCGAUGCUUGAGCACUCAUUAUUAUAUAUAUGCCGUCAUCUACAUGCAAUUGGAAAAUCCAAUGUUACGUAAAAUAAAUGUAAUCGCCGUUCUUGGCGCUGAAACGCGCUCAUAACCUAGAGACCAGAUGCGGAGUGAUUCGUCAGGCUUAAUAUAAAAGCGCGAUAAACGAGCGCCGUGAAACCCAAACGCCCGCAUUACAACGCUUUUAUCUAUCGCAUAACCUGAUGUGUGACAAAUGACGACUAUCGAGAGCUCGGCGAGGUUGAUAGAGCCAACGAUGGGCGGACACGCGACAUCGGACACGAUGGGUAGGAAAAGGAACGUGAAUCGUGAUCCGCUCCGCGCGACCGAUGUCGACGUGGGUAUUUGAGCAAUACGUGCGGCACCUGCCUGAAGUUAGCGGUAUUAGAAAGGCACUCAACAUCUUUUGCGAAAUUACAAAAGCUCAAGCUUUCAAAUUUGAAUUCAGUAAUUACUGAUAUUGCAGAAUAUUUAUUUAGGCAAAUAUAUUUAACAGUAGCGAAAUGAAGAAUAAUGCAUGAUUUUUAAUGUAGCAAAUAUCAGAAAAAA
Molecule: long non-coding RNA, 9913 nt
Organism: Ooceraea biroi (clonal raider ant)
Lineage: Eukaryota; Metazoa; Arthropoda; Insecta; Hymenoptera; Formicidae
Source: RefSeq, a predicted model, not a curated record